UGCAAUGUUGCCAUUGUAAUGGUGUCAGUGU
Molecule: non-coding RNA, 31 nt
Filed under: Rattus norvegicus (Norway rat)
Lineage: Eukaryota; Metazoa; Chordata; Mammalia; Rodentia; Muridae
Source: RNAcentral